Molecule: ribosomal RNA, 414 nt
Filed under: Allobates aff. femoralis/hodli AR-202
Lineage: Eukaryota; Metazoa; Chordata; Amphibia; Anura; Aromobatidae
Description: partial large subunit ribosomal RNA
Rfam family: Bacterial large subunit ribosomal RNA
Source: RNAcentral
CUUGAUCAAUUAUAAGAGGUCAAGCCUGCCCAGUGACAUUGUUCAACGGCCGCGGUAUCCUAACCGUGCGAAGGUAGCGUAAUCACUUGUCCUUUAAAUAAGGACUAGUAUGAACGGCUUCACGAAGGCUAUACUGUCUCCUUAGUCUAAUCAAUUAAACUAAUCUCCCCGUGAAGAAGCGGGGAUUCAUUUAUAAGACGAGAAGACCCUAUGGAGCUUUAAACAUCUAAGACACUUGAUUACACCUACUAAACUUCAUGCAACCUAUCAUUUUUGUCUUAAGUUUUAGGUUGGGGUGACCACGGAGAAAAAUUGAACCUCCACGUAGAAAGAAAAUUCUUUUCUAAGCAAAAAGCCACAUCUUAACGCAUCAAUAUAUUGACUUAAAUUGACCCAAUUUCUUGCUCAACGAAC